UUUGCCUCACAAAAAAAAUACAAACCGCGCGAAAAUUCAAAUUUUUGCUCUUUUGACAGCGCUGAGAAACCUUCAAAUAGUGACGAGAAGACCAGACGUAUCCCUUCGUGACAAGCUGCCACUUGUUCUUUUCAGCUCGAGCCUUUUUUGGGAGCUACUCUGGUACAUCGUCCACACUGCUGCCAAGUCUCCACUUCCCAAAAUGGAUGGAAGUGACGAAUAUGGAGGACGCUAUCCUUGAACCCGUGGACAGAAGAGGAAGAGCGACGACUUGGGUGCGGCUGCGAAGUCUGCCUGCCCAACGCCAAUUGCUCCUCACCCAAAAAGUAAACAAAUUAUAUAGCAGGAGUGGUUUCAAGUGGUUUCAAUGCAUUGUGUUUUUGGGAUGUUGGUGUGUACUUAUGCAGUCCUAGCGUGUUGAGCAAUAGCAAAGCACUGCAACUAUGCACCACCCCCCGUGGUACUUCACAACCGAGUUAGCCGCUUGAUCCAUGGUGCGGCGAGCAACCUCCAUGUGCAUAGGGUUGCUCGGAGCUGUGGCUGCUGACGCAGGCUUCCUAUUCAUAGUGAAAUCAAGAAGAAGGGCAAAUAGUGCACCGGACACUCUGACACCUGUACAAAACACCAAUCCACGCACACACACACACACACACAAACACGCACUGUCUAUGAAAAAAAAAACACUUCAAAGUACAAUUUGGUACAAUAAAUCUCUACAGCGCAAUAGGAACAGAAAAUGACCAGUAUGAUGAUGACAUUACCUGUACUUGCAGAACUGGUGUCUAGCUCUUGGAAAAUGGUUGACGAAUUGCGAAGUAAAUCAGUCCACACAUUUGAGACAUUCGUGCACUCUCCUCUCCUUAAUUUUCCUAAGGCCUUGUUCUUGAAAAACAACGUCUGCUGCUGCUCACAAUUUA
This is a long non-coding RNA of Sycon ciliatum, 917 nucleotides long. RefSeq lists it as uncharacterized. NCBI's taxonomy places the organism in Eukaryota, Metazoa, Porifera, Calcarea, Leucosolenida, Sycettidae. The record is from RefSeq and is a predicted model, not a curated record. The transcript has 2 exons.